GGGGGUAUAGUUUAAUUUAGUAAAACUACAAAUUUGUACUUUGUUAAUUCAGGUUUAACUCCUAGUACUUCUA
This 73-nucleotide transfer RNA is filed under the name Scedosporium apiospermum. It matches the Rfam family "tRNA". From Rfam's summary of the family: Transfer RNA (tRNA) molecules are approximately 80 nucleotides in length. Their secondary structure includes four short double-helical elements and three loops (D, anti-codon, and T loops). Further hydrogen bonds mediate the characteristic L-shaped molecular structure. tRNAs have two regions of fundamental functional importance: the anti-codon, which is responsible for specific mRNA codon recognition, and the 3' end, to which the tRNAs corresponding amino acid is attached (by aminoacyl-tRNA synthetases). tRNAs cope with the degeneracy of the genetic code in two manners: having more than one tRNA (with a specific anti-codon) for a particular amino acid; and 'wobble' base-pairing, i.e. permitting non-standard base-pairing at the 3rd anti-codon position. The record is from Rfam by way of RNAcentral. Lineage: Eukaryota; Fungi; Ascomycota; Sordariomycetes; Microascales; Microascaceae.